AAUAGUCUUUUAAUAGGAGGCUGGAAUGAAGGGUUGGACAAAAAAUGGACUGUCUUUUAGUAAGAAUUGAAUUUUACUUUUAAGUGAAAAGGCUUAAAUAGUUUAAGGGGACGAGAAGACCCUAUAAAGUUUUAUAGAAUUGAGAAUAUUAACAUAAGUAAGGGGGUUAUGUUUUAUUUAAAAUUUUAUUCCAUUGGGGAGGUGUAGAUAUAAAAUAAUAACUGUCUAAGAAAUAUAAUAAUUAUAAUUAGGUUUAAUGAGUUUUUUUUAAGGAUUAAGAGAAAAAGUUACUUUAGGGAUAACAGCGUAAUUUUUUUGGAGAGUUCUAAUCGAUGAAAGUAGUUGCGACCUCGAUGUUGAAUUAAGAUUAAAUUUAAGGGGCAGAUUCUUUAAUGAAAAGUCUGUUCGACUUUUAAAAUCUUA
Molecule: ribosomal RNA, 423 nt
Filed under: Pasiphaea japonica
Lineage: Eukaryota; Metazoa; Arthropoda; Malacostraca; Decapoda; Pasiphaeidae
Description: partial 16S ribosomal RNA
Rfam family: Bacterial large subunit ribosomal RNA (bases 298-423)
Source: RNAcentral